ACGGGUGAGUAACACGUAGGCAACCUGCCCUCAAGUUUGGGACAACUACCGGAAACGGUAGCUAAUACCGAAUAGUUGUUUUCUUCGCCUGAAGAGAACUGGAAAGACGGAGCAAUCUGUCACUUGGGGAUGGGCCUGCGGCGCAUUAGCUAGUUGGUGAGGUAACAGCUCACCAAGGCGACGAUGCGUAGCCGACCUGAGAGGGUGAUCGGCCACACUGGGACUGAGACACGGCCCAGACUCCUACGGGAGGCAGCAGUAGGGAAUCUUCCGCAAUGGGCGAAAGCCUGACGGAGCAAUGCCGCGUGAGUGAUGAAGGUUUUCGGAUCGUAAAGCUCUGUUGCCAGGGAAGAACGCUUGGGAGAGUAACUGCUCUCAAGGUGACGGUACCUGAGAAGAAAGCCCCGGCUAACUACGUGCCAGCAGCCGCGGUAAUACGUAGGGGGCAAGCGUUGUCCGGAAUUAUUGGGCGUAAAGCGCGCGCAGGCGGUCAUUUAAGUCUGGUGUUUAAUCCCGGGGCUCAACCCCGGAUCGCACUGGAAACUGGGUGACUUGAGUG
RNAcentral lists this ribosomal RNA (559 nucleotides) under uncultured bacterium. RNAcentral's name for it is "bacterial SSU rRNA". It matches the Rfam family "Bacterial small subunit ribosomal RNA", at positions 102 to 648 of the family's 1533-position model. The record is from RNAcentral.